RNAcentral lists this ribosomal RNA (1080 nucleotides) under uncultured archaeon. RNAcentral describes it as "bacterial SSU rRNA". It matches the Rfam family "Archaeal small subunit ribosomal RNA", at positions 345 to 1429 of the family's 1478-position model. The record is from RNAcentral.
AAACUCCGCAAUGCGCGAAAGCGUGACGGGGGAACCCCAAGUGCCGUUGGUCUUUUGAUCGACGGCUUUUGUGGAGUGUAAGAAGCUCCACGAAUAAGGGCUGGGUAAGUCGGGUGCCAGCCGCCGCGGUAAUACCCGCAGCCCAAGUGGUGGUCGCGAUUAUUGGGCCUAAAGCGCUCGUAGCCGGGCUGGCAAGUCCCUUGUGAAAUCGGGCGGCCUAACCGUUCGGCUGGUAAGGGAUACUGCUGGCCUUGAGGUCGGGAGACGUCAAGGGUACUCCGGGGGUAGCGGUGAAAUGCUCUGAUCCUCGGGGGACCACCAGUGGCGAAGGCGCUUGACGAGAACGGACCUGACGGUGAGGGGCGAAGGCUAGGGGAGCGAACGGGAUUAGAUACCCCGGUAGUCCUAGCUGUAAAGUAUGCGGGCCAGGUGUCUGGUGUUCCUCGAGAGCACCAGGUGCCGGAGAGAAGUCGUUAAGCCCGCCGCCUGGGAAGUACGGUCGCAAGGCUGAAACUUAAAGAAAUUGGCGGGGGAGCACCACAAGGGGUGGGACCUGCGGUUCAAUCGGAUUCAACGCCGAAAAACUCACCAGGGGCGACAGCUGGAUGAAGGCCAGGCUGACGACCUUGCCGGACUAGCUGAGAGGUGGUGCAUGGCCAUCGUCAGCUCGUACCGUGAGGCGUCCUGUCAAGUCAGGCAACGAGCGAGAUCCUCGCCCUUAGUUGCCCCAGUGGGAAGCUGGGCACUAUAAGGGGACCGCUGGCGCUAAGCCAGAGGAAGGAGAGGGCGACGGUAGGUCCGUAUGCCCCGAAUCCCCUGGGCCACACGCGGGUCACAAUGCGUAGGACAAUGGGUUGCAACCUCGUAAGAGGAAGCUAAUCCCCUAAACCUACGCUCGGUUCGGAUCGAGGGCUGCAACUCGCCCUCGUGAAGCUGGAAUCCCUAGUAAUCGCGUGCCAACACCGCGCGGUGAAUACGUCCCUGCUCCUUGCACACACCGCCCGUCAAGCCACUCGAGUGGGGUUCGGAUGAGGCUCGUUCGAGUUGGGCGAGUCGAAUCCGAGUUCUGCAAGAGGGGCU